This 400-nucleotide ribosomal RNA is filed under the name uncultured bacterium. Its description in RNAcentral is "bacterial SSU rRNA". It matches the Rfam family "Bacterial small subunit ribosomal RNA", at positions 356 to 773 of the family's 1533-position model. The record is from RNAcentral.
GGGGAAUAUUGCACAAUGGGGGAAACCCUGAUGCAGCAACGCCGCGUGAGUGAUGACGGUCUUCGGAUUGUAAAGCUCUGUCUUCAGGGACGAUAAUGACGGUACCUGAGGAGGAGGCCACGGCUAACUACGUGCCAGCAGCCGCGGUAAUACGUAGGUGGCAAGCGUUGUCCGGAUUUACUGGGCGUAAAGGAUGUGUAGGCGGAUAUUUAAGUGAGAUGUGAAAUCCCCGGGCUUAACUUGGGGGCUGCAUUUCAAACUGGAUGUCUAGAGUGCAGGAGAGGAAAGCAGAAUUCCUAGUGUAGCGGUGAAAUGCGUAGAGAUUAGGAAGAAUACCAGUGGCGAAGGCGGCUUUCUGGACUGUAGCUGACACUGAGGCUCGAAAGCGUGGGGAGCAAAC